RNAcentral lists this unclassified non-coding RNA (250 nucleotides) under plant metagenome. RNAcentral describes it as "partial contains small subunit ribosomal RNA, internal transcribed spacer 1, and 5.8S ribosomal RNA". The record is from RNAcentral.
GUAGGUGAACCUGCGGAAGGAUCAUUAACACUAUUUUACAAAACAAUUAUGUGCCUUGAGCAGCAAUGCUCUUCGUCACUUUUUGUUUUUCCCAACCAAAUACCCAAACUUUAUGAAAGUGCUGGUUGAUUUCGCAUUUAUCCGUCCAACGAUAAAUGAAAAUCACUUUUUCACUUCUUUUUCUUUAUUAACCCCAAACUCUUUCAUUGCUAAUGCAAAUGACAAUAACAAAACAAUAACUACUUUAACG